GACGAGCGCUGGCGGCGUGCUUAACACAUGCAAGCCGAACGGAAAGGCCCUGCUUUUGUGGGGUGCUCGAGUGGCGAACGGGUGAGUAACACGUGAGUAACCUGCCCUUGACUUUGGGAUAACUUCAGGAAACUGGGGCUAAUACCGGAUAGGAGCUCCUGCUGCAUGGUGGGGGUUGGAAAGUUUCGGCGGUUGGGGAUGGACUCGCGGCUUAUCAGCUUGUUGGUGGGGUAGUGGCUUACCAAGGCUUUGACGGGUAGCCGGCCUGAGAGGGUGACCGGCCACAUUGGGACUGAGAUACGGCCCAGACUCCUACGGGAGGCAGCAGUGGGGAAUAUUGCACAAUGGGCGGAAGCCUGAUGCAGCAACGCCGCGUGCGGGAUGACGGCCUUCGGGUUGUAAACCGCUUUCGCCUGUGACGAAGCGUGAGUGACGGUAAUGGGUAAAGAAGCACCGGCUAACUACGUG
This 468-nucleotide ribosomal RNA is filed under the name uncultured bacterium. RNAcentral describes it as "partial 16S ribosomal RNA". It matches the Rfam family "Bacterial small subunit ribosomal RNA", at positions 28 to 507 of the family's 1533-position model. The record is from RNAcentral.